RNAcentral lists this ribosomal RNA (279 nucleotides) under uncultured bacterium. Its description in RNAcentral is "partial 16S ribosomal RNA". It matches the Rfam family "Bacterial small subunit ribosomal RNA", at positions 506 to 784 of the family's 1533-position model. The record is from RNAcentral.
UGCCAGCAGCCGCGGUAAUACGGAGGGUGCAAGCGUUGUUCGGAAUUAUUGGGCGUAAAGCGCACGCAGGCGGAUUGUUAAGCUAGAGGUGAAAGCCCCGCGCUCAACGUGGGAAUUGCCUUUAGAACUGGCAGUCUAGAGUCUUGGAGAGGGGAGUGGAAUUCCAGGUGUAGCGGUGAAAUGCGUAGAGAUCUGGAGGAACAUCUGUGGCGAAGGCGGCUACCUGGAUUAAGACUGACGCUGAGGCACGAAAGCGUGGGGAGCAAACAGGAUUAGAUA